CUGUUAGACCAAGCUGAGUGCCGCCACCACUUCAACAACAGAGCAUUGUGCUAUACUUCAAACUUGAUUGAUUUAGUAGUUGAAAAACAAUCAUGUCCAAAAGAUUCAGCAGUGUAUGAAUCAAUUAGCUUUCUGACAUCAGGUGAAAAAAUUCUCACAAGACAGAGAACAAAAAACUGCCCGAUCGAUAUGCUUGCUAAAGAAUAAAAACCUAACCCACUAUGAAGUCACGUAAAAUAGAAAGAGAUAUCAAGGCUGAUAUGCAUCUUUUCCAAGAUGACCUGAAACUCUAGAAAAAGAAUUUGCCAGCAGGAAUACCUAUUUGUAUGGAAUCAAUCUUCCCAUCAUUUAAGUAUCAUUCACAAACCACGAAUCAUUCCCUAUAUUCACCACAAGCAUGGAAAUAGAAACCAUAGGUUACUGCAACUCUUUCUCAGUGCAGAUCAUUUCUAGUAUUUAUGAACUCGGACCAGAGCUCCUCCAAAGCAAUGAAGAUACUGGAUCUUGCCUGUUGAGGUUUUCCUAUCAAUCAAACAUCUGCAAGGAAAAUAAAUCCCAAAUUAACUCUGCAAAAAAUUGUAGAAAGAUUGGGUUAUGGGGUAACUGAAAGCAUGUGAAGGUGCCUAUUGCAGCUAAAUUCAAAAAUCAAAUUGCUACAGAAACCCCAUGGAAUUGUUUUACACAAUUCCCUUCAAAAAUAUUGUCAACUACGUAGCAACUAAAAAUUCCAUGAAAAUUAUUUAAAGAAAUGAUGCUUCAAAAGCAUCGCUUGUCUCCUUAAACGGCCAAUCAACAUUUGUAAUAUAAGGAAUCAUACAAAUCUGCUUGAUGUUUAGGUCUCAUUGGAUAGUUUGUUCAGCUCAAAAUGAUCUGGAAAACAAUAUCCUCCAAAAUUGAAAAAUAAAAAAAUAAAAUAGCAACUAACAAUAUAGCUUAGCUCAUAAUGACAAGAAAACUGGAAUCUAAAUCUGUUGAACAAUAUUAUGUAUAUCAUCAACUUUCUCUUCCCUAUUCUCAUUUGCAGUCAUGCCUCAUGCAACACUUGCAGAUGGUUCAAUCUCAUUACUAAAACUGUGUUGCUACACUAAUUAACUUCCAGAUCCAACUUACUUUCCUGUGAAUUCAAUCUUAAAUUAAAUCACGCAUAAAAAGAAAGAAUACUAUGUACAAUGUGAUGCUAGGAUAAAGAAGGAAAAUACUUCUGAUAUUUUCUUCUAUAUUUGUUCCUGGCUAUAUGCCUCCUAUUUAUAUUGGCUGCUUUCUCUGAAAAAAUUGAUCUAGAAAACACUUUGUUUAUGCAACCAAAGGGUUCAACUCGACUUCGAUACAGUCACAGCCUGGUUUACAAUCACAAGAUAGGGUUUUGAUUCUAUUUGCAAUAUAGGACUAGGGUUUCCAUAUGUCACGCAGCAAGGACGAAUAGAUAGAAGCUAAAAUUCCACAAGUGUGAUGAAAAGGGAAACUUCAGCAUAUGGCAAACUGGGAUACCAGCUCUAAUGGUACAGCAGAGGGACCAAACCCAAAAAAGAUGGAUAAGGAUGACUGAAAGGAGAACAACAGAUUUCUUUUAGCAUAAGUUGUAUAUGCUUGGGGCAUUCGAUUAACCAGACUGAGACCAAAUGGCAAGGGGUUUGUAGGCGAAACUUAAAAUCUGUUCAUGGCAAAGAACAUGACUAACAAAAUUUUUACAAAAGAGAGAUUUUGAUACAUCUGAUUGACCGCAUAACCUUGUUACAUAAGAAAGUUAACAAUUUGGUGACUUCAAGAUAAGGAAAUCAUAUUUUUUUGUAUCCUGCCGCCUUCUAUCAUCUCAUCACUAGAGUGAUUUAUGAGAAAGAAAUCUUAUCUAAUAAGGAGGUGGUUGCAGUCCCCUAAGCUCUCAAUGAAUGAAGAAAAAUUUUGAAGCAGAAAGUUCCCAAUCAAAAUGAUCAGUGACAAAUACAGAUUGUGGACAAGGUAGAUCUUGAGUUAAAGGUGCAGAAGGGGAAAGUCCAAAGAAGUUCCAAGUUGAAAGGUAAGAAGGGGCAUGCUUUAAGUGCCCUCAAAAGGGCUAACUAUAAGAAAGAUUGUUCUCUGUUGAAGAAAAUAAUGAACAGAAGGAGAACUACAAGUUCUACGAGUGUGUCCUCAGACAUGAGACGAAAAGACAAUGGUGGUUUCUGCAAGUAAUAGUGUUUAUCUUUCUCCCUGGACGUUAAGUUCAGCUUGUUUGUCUCACUAUAUAGUAAAAGAGAUUGAUCUAAUACUUACAAACAGUGUGAUACUUGCAGUAUUGAGCCAGGUGAUAACUGUUAACGCAAGGCGAUUGGUAUAAGGGGAAUCAAAAUUAAAAUGUUAGAUGAGGUGAUCAAAAUCUUGAAAAAUGUCAACAUUGGCCGGGAAUUGAGAAAAAUUUGAUUUCCCUGGGCUAUUUAGAAAAGACUGGGCUCUUUAGAAUGACUUUGUAUGGUUUUUUUUGUGUAGAUCCUGUAAAUGGAAUCCUAAAGAUUACCAAAGGUCUCGUGGUUGUAAUGAAAGGGGAAUCAAGUAGAAAAUAAUUUGUACAAGUUGGUUGGUACUACGGUUAUACUUGAUACUUCAAUUGUAUCAUUAGGAUCUGACACUGAUGACUACUCUCUGACAUAUGGAUCAUAUUGGCAAGCAAGACAUGGUGGAACUUCACAAAAGAAAGCUGCUGAAGGGGUUAAUUGUUUUUGUCCGUUUAAUUUGAGAACACUAGAUCCUUAGGAAACAAAAAGGGAUGAGCUUCGCAUCUUCUCCAGCCAAGAUAUCAGCAAAGGGUAUGGACAAGUAGAGAUUGGAUUAUUUUAUGCUUAGACUAAUGAGCGGUCUAAGUUGGAUUUCCAAGUCAACAAAAUGCAUCUUUGUCAGUUAC
RNAcentral lists this long non-coding RNA (2875 nucleotides) under Carica papaya (papaya). RNAcentral describes it as "long non-coding RNA (CPAP_LNC005312)". Lineage: Eukaryota; Viridiplantae; Streptophyta; Magnoliopsida; Brassicales; Caricaceae. The record is from RNAcentral.